This 422-nucleotide ribosomal RNA is filed under the name uncultured bacterium. RNAcentral's name for it is "bacterial SSU rRNA". It matches the Rfam family "Bacterial small subunit ribosomal RNA", at positions 355 to 774 of the family's 1533-position model. The record is from RNAcentral.
UGAGGAAUAUUGGGCAAUGCCCGCAAGGGUGACCCAGCAACGCCGCGUGGAGGAUGAAUGUCGUAAGAUUGUAAACUCCUGUUAGAGGGGAAGAAUAGUACCGGUUGGACCGGUAUAUGACUGUACCCUCAGAGAAAGCCCCGGCUAACUACGUGCCAGCAGCCGCGGUAAUACGUAGGGGGCAAGCGUUGUCCGGAUUUACUGGGUGUAAAGGGCGCGCAGGCGGGAUAAAAAGUCAGUUGUGAAAUCCUACAGCUUAACUGUAGAACUGCCUUUGAUACUUUUAUUCUUGAGUUCGGGAGAGAGAGACGGAAUUCCAGGUGUAGUGGUGAAAUACGUAGAUAUCUGGAAGAACACCAGUUGCGAAGGCGGUCUCUUGGUCCGACACUGACGCUGAGGCGCGAAAGCGUGGGGAGCAAACA